Molecule: signal recognition particle RNA, 264 nt
Filed under: pig gut metagenome
Description: Bacterial large signal recognition particle RNA
Rfam family: Bacterial large signal recognition particle RNA
About the family: The signal recognition particle (SRP) is a universally conserved ribonucleoprotein involved in the co-translational targeting of proteins to membranes. Archaeal SRP consists of a 7S RNA and homologues of the eukaryotic SRP19 and SRP54 proteins.
Source: RNAcentral
CGUGCCAGACGGGGAGGUAGCGGUGCCCUGAACCCGCAAUCCGCUAUAGCGGGGUUUCAUCCCCCGUUUGAGGCUCGGCGCUGUGGUGCCUGCCGCGCGAACGGAGCGUUGAAUCGUGGGACUCGUGCAACGGAAUGACUGUGAACCGUGUCAGAUCCUGACGGAAGCAGCACUAAGCGGACCCUUCCGUGUGCCGCGAGGUCUCCUGCGAGGAGCCACCGGCAACCGGUAAGACGGUAGCGUCCUGUCGAGGACGGGGUGCAC